Molecule: long non-coding RNA, 831 nt
Filed under: Rattus norvegicus (Norway rat)
Lineage: Eukaryota; Metazoa; Chordata; Mammalia; Rodentia; Muridae
Description: long non-coding RNA NONRATT032461
Source: RNAcentral
CUCAGUAAUCUGAAAGAGCACGGAAUGAUUAGACUGCUGGACCAUCUCUUCAGCCUAGAGGAACCUCAGUAAUCUGAAAGAGCACGGGAUGAUUAGACUGCUGGACCAUCUCUUCAGCCUAGAGGAACCUCAGUAAUCUGAAAGAGCACGGGAUGAUUAGACUGCUGGACCGUCUCUUCAGCCUAGAGGAACUUCAGUAAUCUGAAAGAGCACGGGAUGAUUAGACUGCUGGACCGUCUCUUCAGCCUAGAGGAACCUCAGUAAUCUGAAAGAGCACGGAAUGAUUAGACUGCUGGACCAUCUCUUCAGCCUAGAGGAACUUCAGUAAUCUGAAAGAGCACGGGAUGAUUAGACUGCUGGACCGUCUCUUCAGCCUAGAGGAACCUCAGUAAUCUGAAAGAGCACGGGAUGAUUAGACUGCUGGACCGUCUCUUCAGCCUAGAGAUUUUCUUUUUACAAAAAUGAUAGAGUCUUUUUGGACCACCAAAAGGACACAAAGACUUCUAGAAAAAAGCUGAAACGACAAUCAAAGUUCACUGAAGAAAUGGCAGAUGGAUCAUAAGAUACAGGAGUUGCUGCCAAAACAGGACAGGAUCAGCUGGAAGGAGGAGGGAGGAUCCAGCUCUACACGGCUAGUUCUGAAACUUCAACCAGGACUUCUUUAAGCAUCUAGCACUUUAGAAAUGCAGCUGGGCUGUGGAAGCACUGAAUUGAUUUCUCUUAUCAACUUCACAUUUGCAUUCUAUUUCCCUCCUGUUAUAUGCAGCUAAAAUGAGAGAGAAGAAGGAUGGAAACAGAAGAGAGAUUGAGAAGGGUUGAAAGAGGCAAGGG